RNAcentral lists this ribosomal RNA (497 nucleotides) under uncultured bacterium. RNAcentral describes it as "partial 16S ribosomal RNA". It matches the Rfam family "Bacterial small subunit ribosomal RNA", at positions 28 to 507 of the family's 1533-position model. The record is from RNAcentral.
GAUGAACGCUGGCGGCGUGCCUAAUACAUGCAAGUCGAGCGACCAGACGAUGAGCUUGCUCUUCUGCCGUUAGCGGCUGACGGGUGAGUAACACGUGGAUAACCUACUUCUUAUUCUUGGAUGAUUUCGUGAAACCGCUUCCACUACUGGAUAAUAUAUUCAACCGCAUGGUUCAAUAGUUCUUGACGGCUUUCCUGUUUCUUUUAGCUGGUUCCGCGUCGGAUUAGCUAGUUGGUAAGGUAACGGCUUACCAAGGCGACGAUGCGUAGCCGACCUGAGAGGAUGAUCAGCCACACUGGAACUGAGACACGGUCCAGACUCCUACGGGAGGCAGCAGUAGGGAAUAUUGCGCAAUGGGCGAAAGCCUGACGGAGCAACACCGCGUGAGUGAUGAAGGUCUUCGGGUCGUAAAACUCUGUUAUUGGGGAAGAAAAGAUGUAGAAGUAACUAUGCACGUCUUGACGGUACCUAAACAGAAAGCCACGGCUAACUACGUG